UACAGAGGGGGCAAGCGUUGUUCGGAAUUACUGGGCGUAAAGGGCGCGUAGGCGGCCUGCUAAGUCGAACGUGAAAUCCCUGGGCUCAACCCAGGAACUGCGUCCGAUACUGGUUGGCUUGAAUCCGGGAGAGGGAUGUGGAAUUCCAGGUGUAGCGGUGAAAUGCGUAGAUAUCUGGAGGAACACCGGUGGCGAAGGCGACAUCCUGGACCGGUAGUUGACGCUGAGGCGCGAAAGCCAGGGAGCAAACGGG
RNAcentral lists this ribosomal RNA (253 nucleotides) under uncultured bacterium. RNAcentral's name for it is "partial 16S ribosomal RNA". It matches the Rfam family "Bacterial small subunit ribosomal RNA", at positions 524 to 776 of the family's 1533-position model. The record is from RNAcentral.